This 253-nucleotide ribosomal RNA is filed under the name uncultured bacterium. RNAcentral's name for it is "partial 16S ribosomal RNA". It matches the Rfam family "Bacterial small subunit ribosomal RNA", at positions 524 to 776 of the family's 1533-position model. The record is from RNAcentral.
UACGUAGGGUGCAAGCGUUGUCCGGAAUUAUUGGGCGUAAAGAGCUCGUAGGCGGUUUGUCGCGUCUGGUGUGAAAAUCCAGGGCUUAACCCUGGACCUGCAUCGGGUACGGGCAGACUAGAGUGCGGUAGGGGAGAUCGGAAUUCCUGGUGUAGCGGUGAAAUGCGCAGAUAUCAGGAAGAACACCCGUGGCUAAGGCGGCUCUCUAGUACGGUACUGACGCUGAGACGCGAAAGCGUGGGGAGCGAACAGG